This 1552-nucleotide ribosomal RNA is filed under the name Escherichia coli. RNAcentral's name for it is "bacterial SSU rRNA". It matches the Rfam family "Bacterial small subunit ribosomal RNA". The record is from RNAcentral. Lineage: Bacteria; Pseudomonadati; Pseudomonadota; Gammaproteobacteria; Enterobacterales; Enterobacteriaceae. RNAcentral also lists the same sequence under 1 other name.
AAAUUGAAGAGUUUGAUCAUGGCUCAGAUUGAACGCUGGCGGCAGGCCUAACACAUGCAAGUCGAACGGUAACAGGAAACAGCUUGCUGUUUCGCUGACGAGUGGCGGACGGGUGAGUAAUGUCUGGGAAACUGCCUGAUGGAGGGGGAUAACUACUGGAAACGGUAGCUAAUACCGCAUAACGUCGCAAGACCAAAGAGGGGGACCUUCGGGCCUCUUGCCAUCGGAUGUGCCCAGAUGGGAUUAGCUAGUAGGUGGGGUAACGGCUCACCUAGGCGACGAUCCCUAGCUGGUCUGAGAGGAUGACCAGCCACACUGGAACUGAGACACGGUCCAGACUCCUACGGGAGGCAGCAGUGGGGAAUAUUGCACAAUGGGCGCAAGCCUGAUGCAGCCAUGCCGCGUGUAUGAAGAAGGCCUUCGGGUUGUAAAGUACUUUCAGCGGGGAGGAAGGGAGUAAAGUUAAUACCUUUGCUCAUUGACGUUACCCGCAGAAGAAGCACCGGCUAACUCCGUGCCAGCAGCCGCGGUAAUACGGAGGGUGCAAGCGUUAAUCGGAAUUACUGGGCGUAAAGCGCACGCAGGCGGUUUGUUAAGUCAGAUGUGAAAUCCCCGGGCUCAACCUGGGAACUGCAUCUGAUACUGGCAAGCUUGAGUCUCGUAGAGGGGGGUAGAAUUCCAGGUGUAGCGGUGAAAUGCGUAGAGAUCUGGAGGAAUACCGGUGGCGAAGGCGGCCCCCUGGACGAAGACUGACGCUCAGGUGCGAAAGCGUGGGGAGCAAACAGGAUUAGAUACCCUGGUAGUCCACGCCGUAAACGAUGUCGACUUGGAGGUUGUGCCCUUGAGGCGUGGCUUCCGGAGCUAACGCGUUAAGUCGACCGCCUGGGGAGUACGGCCGCAAGGUUAAAACUCAAAUGAAUUGACGGGGGCCCGCACAAGCGGUGGAGCAUGUGGUUUAAUUCGAUGCAACGCGAAGAACCUUACCUGGUCUUGACAUCCACAGAACUUUCCAGAGAUGGAUUGGUGCCUUCGGGAACUGUGAGACAGGUGCUGCAUGGCUGUCGUCAGCUCGUGUUGUGAAAUGUUGGGUUAAGUCCCGCAACGAGCGCAACCCUUAUCCUUUGUUGCCAGCGGUCCGGCCGGGAACUCAAAGGAGACUGCCAGUGAUAAACUGGAGGAAGGUGGGGAUGACGUCAAGUCAUCAUGGCCCUUACGACCAGGGCUACACACGUGCUACAAUGGCGCAUACAAAGAGAAGCGACCUCGCGAGAGCAAGCGGACCUCAUAAAGUGCGUCGUAGUCCGGAUUGGAGUCUGCAACUCGACUCCAUGAAGUCGGAAUCGCUAGUAAUCGUGGAUCAGAAUGCCACGGUGAAUACGUUCCCGGGCCUUGUACACACCGCCCGUCACACCAUGGGAGUGGGUUGCAAAAGAAGUAGGUAGCUUAACCUUCGGGAGGGCGCUUACCACUUUGUGAUUCAUGACUGGGGUGAAGUCGUAACAAGGUAACCGUAGGGGAACCUGCGGUUGGAUCACCUCCUUACCUUAAAGAA